UACGUAGGAUGCAAGCGUUGUCCGGAAUCACUGGGCUUAAAGGGCGCGUAGGCGGGCUGUCAAGUCUGGGGUGAAAUCCCGCGGCUCAACCGUGGAACUGCCUCAGAUACUGACGGUCUCGAGGGAGGUAGGGGCGAGCGGAACUGAUGGUGGAGCGGUGAAAUGCGUUGAUAUCAUCAGGAACUCCGGUGGCGAAGGCGGCUCGCUGGACCUUUUCUGACGCUGAGGCGCGAAAGCUAGGGGAGCAAACGGG
This 253-nucleotide ribosomal RNA is filed under the name uncultured bacterium. RNAcentral describes it as "partial 16S ribosomal RNA". It matches the Rfam family "Bacterial small subunit ribosomal RNA", at positions 524 to 776 of the family's 1533-position model. The record is from RNAcentral.